RNAcentral lists this small nuclear RNA (99 nucleotides) under Varanus komodoensis (Komodo dragon). The record is from RNAcentral. Lineage: Eukaryota; Metazoa; Chordata; Lepidosauria; Squamata; Varanidae.
GACGUGUUCCAUAUUUUAUACAAAAAUUGGAACGAUGCAGAGAAGAUUAGCAUGGCCCCUGCGCAACGAUGACACACAAAUUCAUGGCACCCUGUCCUU